UACGAAGGGGGCUAGCGUUGUCCGGAAUUAUUGGGCGUAAAGCGAACGUAGGCGGUUUCUUAAGAUUGGUCUUAAAGACCGGGGCUCAACCCCGGGAAUGGAUCGAUAACUGGGAGACUGGAGGACGUCAGAGGAAAGUGGAAUUCCGAGUGUAGCGGUGAAAUGCGUAGAUAUUCGGAGGAACACCAGUGGCGAAGGCGGCUCUCUGGGACGGUACUGACGCUGAGACGCGAAAGCGUGGGGAGCGAACAGG
RNAcentral lists this ribosomal RNA (253 nucleotides) under uncultured bacterium. RNAcentral describes it as "partial 16S ribosomal RNA". It matches the Rfam family "Bacterial small subunit ribosomal RNA", at positions 524 to 776 of the family's 1533-position model. The record is from RNAcentral.